This 233-nucleotide microRNA precursor is filed under the name Theobroma cacao (cacao). Lineage: Eukaryota; Viridiplantae; Streptophyta; Magnoliopsida; Malvales; Malvaceae. The record is from RNAcentral.
AGGUAAAGUAGUGCAGCCAAGGAUGACUUGCCGGCUAGGCUCUCUCUCUCUCUCUCUUCCAUAUAUAUCAUAACUAUAGCUUAUUUUCAAAUAAUAGAUUUAUAUGUAGAUGGCAUUUUUUUUUUCUUUUUGGGACAUCUGGAUUAAUCUUUUCAAUGAAAUACUAUUGGGAGAUGGAGCAUAUUUUUGGUGGAGAUAACCGGCAAGUUGUCUUUGGCUACAAUUCUGCCUGA